CAAGAACACUCUGGAGAGCGCGGUUUUCAAGCCGCCACCGAAGGGGCAGCGGCCCAGGCUUCAUCACCCAGCGCGCCGUAAUCUCUCAGGUACCAAGGACAGAGGGGUGAAG
Molecule: non-coding RNA, 112 nt
Filed under: Thiobacillus denitrificans
Lineage: Bacteria; Pseudomonadati; Pseudomonadota; Betaproteobacteria; Nitrosomonadales; Thiobacillaceae
Description: Glycine sequence
Rfam family: Glycine riboswitch aptamer
About the family: This family represents the bacterial glycine riboswitch. Glycine riboswitches usually consist of two metabolite-binding aptamers domains with similar structures in tandem.
Source: Rfam by way of RNAcentral